RNAcentral lists this ribosomal RNA (402 nucleotides) under bacterium. RNAcentral describes it as "partial 16S ribosomal RNA". It matches the Rfam family "Bacterial small subunit ribosomal RNA", at positions 355 to 776 of the family's 1533-position model. The record is from RNAcentral.
UGGGGAAUUUUGCACAAUGGGGGAAACCCUGAUGCAGCGACGCCGCGUGAUUUAGAAGGCCUUCGGGUUGUAAAAAUCUUUUCUAUGGGAAGAAAAUGACAGUACCAUAGGAAUAAGGACCGGCUAAUUACGUGCCAGCAGCCGCGGUAAUACGUAAGGUCCGAGCGUUGUCCGGAAUCAUUGGGCGUAAAGGGUACGUAGGCGGGUAAGCAAGUUAGAAGUGAAAUCAUAUAGCUCAACUAUAGUAAGCUUUUAAAACUGCUCAUCUUGAGGUAUGGAAGGGAAAGUGGAAUUCCUAGUGUAGCGGUGAAAUGCGCAGAUAUUAGGAGGAAUACCGGUGGCGAAGGCGACUUUCUGGCCAUAACCUGACGCUGAGGUACGAAAGCGUGGGUAGCAAACAGG